UUUCCCUCAUCAAUGUAAGACUACCCGCUGAACUUAAGCAUAUCAAUAAGCGGAGGAAAAGAAACCAACAGGGAUUGCCUCAGUAACGGCGAGUGAAGCGGC
RNAcentral lists this ribosomal RNA (102 nucleotides) under [Candida] mesenterica. Its description in RNAcentral is "partial 28S ribosomal RNA". It matches the Rfam family "Eukaryotic large subunit ribosomal RNA", at positions 1 to 102 of the family's 3401-position model. The record is from RNAcentral. Lineage: Eukaryota; Fungi; Ascomycota; Pichiomycetes; Serinales; Debaryomycetaceae.